CGUUAGACUUGAUCUAGAGUAUUUGAAGUAUCUAGAAAAUAAAUUUUGUGAUUUUUCGAUAUCAUUUACCUAGUGAUCGAAGUGGCUCAAAAUCAACGGCUGAAAAUAAAAAUCUUACAAAAUAUGAUGAUAUGACAUUAAAAUUUUAGAUCAAAGUUAUGAUCGUGUUUUAUAUGGUAUAAAGAAUUUUCUAUCAAAAUUUCAUGUGAUUUGGAUAUUUUUCUACACCGUUAAACUUGCAAACGGCUCACUACGGCCGUUAAAAUUAUUGAUUUUGGGCCCCUUCGAUCACUAGGCAAAUAAUAUCGAAAAAUCACAAAAUUUAUUUUCUAGAUACUUCAAAUACUCUAGAUCAACUCUAACGGAACCGAUCGUCAAUUCGAAAGUCCGAACAUCGAAAACAAUUUGGAAGCACGGAGGGCUCCGUGCUUCCAGAAGCAUAUCAGCUCACUCUCUCUCUCUCUCUCUCUCUCUAUAUAUAUAUAUUAUAUGUACAUAUAAAAGAGCAAAACAAUUAAUCUGUGUGUAGUUUAUCUAUGGGCGUGCGUAACUAACUGUUUCCUAACUUUUGGACGUGCAUUAUCACAUUUUUUGCCACGUAGCUUCUCACACGCCUACUACUCUCAAUGAAAAUGCACACCACCAAAACUUUGGCAUUUAUACAAUUAUGCAAAUAUAUACCCUCUCAAAAAAAAAAUUACUUAAAUUUUAUCAAAUAAUUUAAUAAAUUUUAUUUUUAUAAAAAUUAUUAAUUAUACAUGCAUUUUGAUCUAUUAUAUUAUAUAUAAUCUAAUAAUACUAUAAAACACAAAAAAAAAUUAAAGUUAGAUUCACUAUAUUCGUCAAUUCUGAUUAUUAAUUAUCAAAAAUGAUUUAAAAAAAAGUAGGUUUCUUCGUGUUUUGAACUAAUACAAAAU
Molecule: long non-coding RNA, 917 nt
Filed under: Ananas comosus (pineapple)
Lineage: Eukaryota; Viridiplantae; Streptophyta; Magnoliopsida; Poales; Bromeliaceae
Description: long non-coding RNA (ACOM_LNC030111)
Source: RNAcentral